GUUUUAUUGAGCACUAGCUAAGUGCUCCGCAAACUCUAUUCUUCUUAAUGCUCACGAUAGGCCCAGAAAGUAGUUAGCUGUGCAGACUCCUGUGACCCCAGGUGACAAGAAGCCUGUGGCUCAGUGGAGGACCCACUUCCAUGGUGCCAGGCUUGUGUUCACUGAGCCCCCUGGGGAUCAUCAAAACCUCCAGAUGCCCGAGCUCUGCCCAAGGGGUUGUGGCUUCAUUCCUCUGGGUGUGCCUUGGGUUUUGGGAUUUUUAAAGGGUUCCCAGAAAAGUCUGAAUAUGCAAACAAGUUUGGGAAGCACCGGUUUUCUGAAGAGAAUUUAAUGAAGGGACUUUCAAAAACCCCAAUGAGCAGCUUUGCUGAGAUUUAAAUGACCCACAGUGAACUGCACAUAAUCAAAAUAUGCCAUUUGAUACUUUAAAAAAAAAAAAAAAAACUACCUUAACCAUUUCAAGUAUAGAGUUCGGGAGUUCUAAGUGUGUUCCCACUGUUAGGUGACCAGUCUCCAGAACGCUCCCAUCCCGUGACACAGAGAGUCACUAGGACCCACGAAGACUCCCCAACAUUCCCUCUCCCAGCCCCCACUUUGUCUUUAUGACUCUAAAUACCUCGCGUGAGUGGAAUCAUAGAGCAUUUGUGACUAAUUUCACUUAGCACGAUGUCCUCGAGGGCCAUCCUUAAACGGGGUGACAGGGUUUCCUUCCCUUUCAAAGCUAAUAUUCCAUUUUACACACAUUCCUUUGCUUGACCCUUGUCUCUCGUGGACAUCGAGGCUGCUUCCUCCUCUGGCC
Molecule: long non-coding RNA, 799 nt
Filed under: Marmota monax (woodchuck)
Lineage: Eukaryota; Metazoa; Chordata; Mammalia; Rodentia; Sciuridae
Source: RNAcentral